Ipomoea triloba (trilobed morning glory) is the source of this 340-nucleotide long non-coding RNA. RefSeq lists it as uncharacterized. The transcript has 2 exons. The record is from RefSeq and is a predicted model, not a curated record. Lineage: Eukaryota; Viridiplantae; Streptophyta; Magnoliopsida; Solanales; Convolvulaceae.
UCACGAAGCUUCAAUAGGCCUGCACCUGGAGGGUUAAAAAAAAAGCGCGGGGGAGAAUCAGUAAUCGAAAGGAUUUAAAGCUCCAAUCUGCGGCUGACAGAUUGGAUGAAAAGGAUAAACUAUAUGAAGAAACAGAGAGAGAGAGAGAGACUCACCAUGUUUGCGAGCUUUAACACGAGCAGAAACUGCAAUCCAAACUUUUCUGACCGGAAAAACCAUCUUGUGCCACCAAUCAUCCAUGGUUUUAAUCCUGGGUUUCUUCCUCCGAUUCCCUCCUAAUCUACUCAAUAUUCCCCGUAUUCCGGCCAGGCCUCUUCUCUCUGAUCUCUCUUCUGCAAAA